UCAAAGCCAAAUAUUAUGGGGAGUCUUCUUUCCCCUGUGGGAUCCGUGGUGUGAAUCUGUUUCAGUCCCGUUUCUGCACCUGUGGUGUUCCUCCCUCCAGUGGACAGUGUGACGGUUCCCUUUGGCUCUGGACUGUAUCUCUGUCCUCACUACCUUCUUUGAUGUGGCCUCUUCUCUACAUUUAGCUGUGGGGAGUUCUGUCAGUCUUCAGGUUCUUUUCUGUGUUUUUUUAUACUCAUGUGAAUGUUACCUGGUUACAUCUGUGGGAUGAAGUGAGCUUAGGAUCCUCCUACUCUACCAUCUUCUCCAGAAGCCUGGAUGGCUUUUUUAGAAAGGCUAGUUUAGAAAGUUAAUCAGGUUCCUUUCUACAGUUGAACACUGCCCCCCCCCCCCCCCCGCUAUUUAUGGAGGGAGGAAGAGGUCAUGUAACUAACCAGUUAUACCAAUUAUGUUUAUUAGGUGUGUUUGAUAAAUGAACUUUACUGUCUAGCAACUUGAGGGCUUUCCUGUUGGCACUUGCAGGUUCCCUGAGACUUCUGAUUAAACCUUAGAAAUAAAUGUAAUUUGUUUAUUUUUGGUAUCUAAAGGUACCCCUGCCUUGGAGCUCUGAAACAUCCAUGCUCUUGGUGAAUGCUUUUGACAAGACUUCAGUGUCUUCCGGUCACUUGCCCAGUUAUUCCUUCUGGUGGGAAAAAGACUUCUUAAAGCACACAAAAAGAAGACAUCCCAAAUGAUGACAGAGAGGAAGAUUAUUGGUGUAGUCCACACAGAAGUUCUGUACUACUUCCUAAUGUAUGAUCUUGGGCAAGUCAUCAGAAUGUUCUGAACUUAAGUUUAGUACCCAGAAAAGCACUACAAUGUUUACCCCACAAGACUGUAUAGUUAAAUGAAGACUUUGACCACUGAUGCAAAUAUGUACUGCAAUAUUUAGGUGUCCUGAAGAAAAUAAAAUUUAAUUUUGUGUGCAUUGAGAAGCCACCUGAACAUGAGAUCCCAUCUCUAUUGUAAGCCUGUGGACAAGUGAUCUAGUAUCUUUAAGGGAUGAUCUCAUGCUGUUUUGACAGGUGGGCUUAGGAUGGCACACCAUAACUAUGGAGGAAUUACUCGAUUAAAAGAAGGGGAAAAAUAGUCUGCUAGCAACUAUUUGUAUUAACACAAAUGAAGGCACAAAUAGUAGGACUCCAGAGGCG
Molecule: long non-coding RNA, 1190 nt
Organism: Mustela lutreola (European mink)
Lineage: Eukaryota; Metazoa; Chordata; Mammalia; Carnivora; Mustelidae
Exons: 4
Source: RefSeq, a predicted model, not a curated record